AGUAUUAGUAAUUAAGGCAGGCUAUCAUUCCUCGCAAAGUCAUUUUUCCCUAAAUCCCUAGCCGACAACUGCACUAUCCGUACUUUUCUUCAAGGCUGGUUAUAGAAAAACAGACCAGCCUCUAAAACAUCUCACCAGAAACGAACUCCACCACUUUCUGCAACAAUACAGUAUUACAGUCUGGGUCAUGUGUGUUUGUCAUAGCAGGUUACAUUCUCACUUAUACAACAAAGUAAAACAAGGAGAUGGCAAGUUCGGUGAAGGUUUCCAGAAACUACUAUCAAAGUGUUUUGUAGUCUAAUAAGUUGCGCUUAUGUAAUAUUUCUUUACUCUCCAUCUCUUGCUUACAUACACUAAAGACAAUAGCCAGGCCACCUCCUAUACACCAAGCUCUGGACUAAAACUGAAGAUAAUCAAACCUUUCCUUAAGUUUCCUAUCACAUACCAGGUACUACAUGUCACUUUAAGAACUCAAUCUUGUUCUUUCUAUAACCUCAAAUGAACCUGAAUGGAUCGCUAUGAAUCCUGACUGAUUUGCGCUUCCUUUCAUGUCAAAACUCAUUUACUUCUGAAGUUAGUCUUCAUUUUUAAUUAGAAACUGAAUUGAUGAAUGGAAAAGGGCAACAGCUAGUCUGUUUUCCUUCUAUCUAUUUUGCAACCGGGACUAUGGAAUCAUCAUUAUCAACCAAUCCCCUCACAUCAAUUAUAUCGACUCGAAAAUGGUAUAUACUAUCUGGAGCAGUCCCAUCGCCCCCACACAGACACCGAAGAGCCAGCACGAUAUGCCACGGCACGGGGCGACACACAUGAGCCAAGAUCAACCAAACUUAUCCUCGGAUAAGCAGAUCACUUAUUUCGAGGCCCACUGACAACUGUAUCACGAAUGUUACAUAAACAUCUAAACACGGACAUGAACGUGAGACACCAGCAAGCCUCACCAAUACUCAUGUUGCCAGAGGAUUAACAUGUUCGUGCCAAGAGUCAGUAAGCAGGAGCACACCUUACACCUCAGUAAGGGUUAGACGGUGAGAGGGGUAGCCAGAAAGGAAAUAAUCAAUAUCUAACGCAGAGGAAACCAUGGUGGAGGGUUCAUGUCAGUCGGUCACUGACGCCUACUCACCACAACACGAACAGGGAAUGGAUGGAAGAGACAACAGAGAGGGCGGCAAGGUUGGCAAGCCUGGUGCGCCUGCGCCUACCUGGACACAGAAAGAUGGACUUCCCUUAGUCGCGAGUCACCGCCCCUACCACUAGUUCCUGUUAAAUAGACCACUGAGAACAAGCAGAGGUAUGGCCAAAAAUACAAUCUGGGAAUGGCUCAAAAUGACUAAACAUAAGAAAUGUAAAACACAGCACUCCACAUGCAGUUAAUAAAUGUAUGCCAUUAGACCAUGUGCACUUACCAAUUACUCAUACAGCUGGCAACACUACAGCACACAA
Molecule: long non-coding RNA, 1440 nt
Organism: Scylla paramamosain (green mud crab)
Lineage: Eukaryota; Metazoa; Arthropoda; Malacostraca; Decapoda; Portunidae
Exons: 3
Source: RefSeq, a predicted model, not a curated record